This 263-nucleotide ribosomal RNA is filed under the name uncultured bacterium. Its description in RNAcentral is "partial 16S ribosomal RNA". It matches the Rfam family "Bacterial small subunit ribosomal RNA", at positions 793 to 1055 of the family's 1533-position model. The record is from RNAcentral.
GUCCACGCCGUAAACGAUGGGCACUAGGUGUCGGAGGUGUCGACUCCUCCGGUGCCGUAGCUAACGCAUUAAGUGCCCCGCCUGGGGAGUACGGCCGCAAGGCUAAAACUCAAAGGAAUUGACGGGGACCCGCACAAGCAGCGGAGCAUGUGGUUCAAUUCGACGCAACGCGAAGAACCUUACCUGGGCUUGACAUGUAGGUGACAGCCGUGGAAACACGGUCUCCCUUCGGGGCACCUUCACAGGUGGUGCAUGGCUGUCGU